This 468-nucleotide ribosomal RNA is filed under the name uncultured bacterium. RNAcentral describes it as "partial 16S ribosomal RNA". It matches the Rfam family "Bacterial small subunit ribosomal RNA", at positions 28 to 507 of the family's 1533-position model. The record is from RNAcentral.
GACGAACGCUGGCGGCGUGCUUAACACAUGCAAGUCGAACGGAAAGGCCCUGCUUUUGUGGGGUGCUCGAGUGGCGAACGGGUGAGUAACACGUGAGUAACCUGCCCUUGACUUUGGGAUAACUUCAGGAAACUGGGGCUAAUACCGGAUAGGAGCUCCUGCUGCAUGGUGGGGGUUGGAAAGUUUCGGCGGUUGGGGAGGGACUGGCGGCUUAUCAGCUUGUUGGUGGGGUAGUGGCUUACCACGGCUUUGACGGGUAGCCGGCCUGAGAGGGUGACCGGCCAAGUUGGAACUGAGAUGCGGCCCAGACUCGUACGGGAGGCAGCAGUGGAGUAUAUUGCACAAUGGGCGGAAGCCUAGUGCAGCAACGCCGCGUGCGGUAGGACGGCCUUCGGGUUGUAAACCGCUUUCGCCUGUGACGAAGCGUGAGUGACGGUAAUGGGUAAAGAAGCACCGGCUAACUACGUG